This 93-nucleotide transfer RNA is filed under the name Fodinisporobacter ferrooxydans. Its description in RNAcentral is "Alicyclobacillaceae bacterium MYW30-H2 tRNA-Ser". It matches the Rfam family "tRNA". From Rfam's summary of the family: Transfer RNA (tRNA) molecules are approximately 80 nucleotides in length. Their secondary structure includes four short double-helical elements and three loops (D, anti-codon, and T loops). Lineage: Bacteria; Bacillati; Bacillota; Bacilli; Caryophanales; Alicyclobacillaceae. The record is from RNAcentral.
GGAUGGAUACUCAAGUGGCCGAAGAGGGCGGUUUGCUAAACCGUUAGGAGGAUAUAAAUUCUCGCGAGGGUUCAAAUCCCUCUCCAUCCGCCA